This 239-nucleotide long non-coding RNA is filed under the name Elaeis guineensis (African oil palm). RNAcentral describes it as "long non-coding RNA (EGUI_LNC082372)". The record is from RNAcentral. Lineage: Eukaryota; Viridiplantae; Streptophyta; Magnoliopsida; Arecales; Arecaceae.
GAAGACUUCGUCCGGACUCCUACGGGAGCCGAACUCCGAGCUCCUACUGCAAGCGACCCACUCUGAGUUUCCAUUGCAAACGAUCUACUUCAAAUUUUUACCACGAGCGGUCCGUGCUGGAUUCCCACCGUAAGCCUUCACCCAAGCUUCCAUUAUGGAUGAAUUCCUUUCGGAUUUCUGUUGCAGACAGGCCUUGACCGAGACUUCUCGAUAAAUGAUCCCCAUCCAGGCUUCUACGG